CCUACGGGAGGCAGCAGUGAGGAAUAUUGGUCAAUGGGCGCGAGCCUGAACCAGCCAAGUCGCGUGAAGGAUGAAUGCCCUACGGGUUGUAAACUUCUUUUGUGAAGGAAUAAAGUGAGGCACGUGUGCCUUUUUGUAUGUACUUUAUGAAUAAGGAUCGGCUAACUCCGUGCCAGCAGCCGCGGUAAUACGGAGGAUCCGAGCGUUAUCCGGAUUUAUUGGGUUUAAAGGGAGCGUAGAUGGGUUGUUAAGUCAGUUGUGAAAGUUUGGGGCUCAACCGUAAGAUUGCAAUUGAUACUGGCAGCCUUGAGUACAGGUGAGGUAGGCGGAAUUCGUGGGGUAGCGGUGAAAUGCUUAGAUAUCACGAAGAACUCCGAUUGCGAAGGCAGCUUACUAAACUGCCACUGACAUUGAUGCUCGAAAGUGUGGGUAUCAAACAGGAUUAGAUACCCUAGUAGUC
Molecule: ribosomal RNA, 460 nt
Filed under: uncultured bacterium
Lineage: Bacteria
Description: partial 16S ribosomal RNA
Rfam family: Bacterial small subunit ribosomal RNA
Source: RNAcentral